Long non-coding RNA from Ostrea edulis (European flat oyster), 332 nucleotides. RefSeq lists it as uncharacterized. The record is from RefSeq and is a predicted model, not a curated record. The transcript is spliced from 2 exons. Lineage: Eukaryota; Metazoa; Mollusca; Bivalvia; Ostreida; Ostreidae.
UGAGAGCUGUGGCAGCUGCCUUAUCUAUCAAAUUGUAAUCCCCCUUUUUUUUCUCUCUUUCAGAACUCAUUCAUAAAAAUUGGAUUGAAUGGCAAAGGACCAGGUUUAAACUGGUGACGUUUCAAUAUGAGGGGGAAAUUCCUGACGGGAUUUAAAUCAAGCAAACAACUUUGUAAGAAAAAAGAAAAGAAAAAAUUGCUGAACCUGGGAACUAAAAAAUUACAAAGGCGUCCGUGGUGUUAAUGAGUUCCAAGAUGGCUGGAAAACUGACCAUAUUUGGCUGCAGGGAGUGGGAGAUGCAUUGCUGUUAAAACCAUAAAAGGCAUUUUGGU